CCUACGGGCGGCAGCAGUGAGGAAUAUUGGUCAAUGGACGAGAGUCUGAACCAGCCAAGUAGCGUGAAGGAUGACUGCCCUAUGGGUUGUAAACUUCUUUUAUAUGGGAAUAAAACAGGGUAUGCAUACCCUCUUGUAUGUACCAUAUGAAUAAGGAUCGGCUAACUCCGUGCCAGCAGCCGCGGUAAUACGGCGGAUCCGAGCGUUAUCCGGAUUUAUUGGGUUUAAAGGGAGCGUAGGUGGAUUGUUAAGUCAGUUGUGAAAGUUUGCGGCUCAACCGUAAAAUUGCAGUUGAAACUGGCAGUCGUGAGUACAGUAGAGGUGGGCGGAAUUCGUGGUGUAGCGGUGAAAUGCUUAGAUAUCACGAAGAACUCCGAUUGCGAAGGCAGCUCACUGGACUGCAACUGACACUGAUGCUCGAAAAUGUGGGUAUCAAACAGGAUUAGAUACCCCGGUAGUC
RNAcentral lists this ribosomal RNA (460 nucleotides) under uncultured bacterium. RNAcentral describes it as "partial 16S ribosomal RNA". It matches the Rfam family "Bacterial small subunit ribosomal RNA", at positions 338 to 795 of the family's 1533-position model. The record is from RNAcentral.